AGAGAGGGCGGGGGAGGGGGAAAGAGAGAGCCAAUCACGAAAGAAAAGCCACUGGCAAAGACGCUAAGAGGAACCUUAUCACUAAGGGCGGGAGCACGUUCAGUGGCUAAAAUAGCAUCCAGCUGCAAGAACGCGCGCUCGAGCUGCUAAGGCAAUAGGAAAGGAACCUCCCUCACCCUCCCGCUGUGAAGGGGCGGGCUUUGCUAUUUUCGCCGCGAGGCGGGGGAGCGUCCCUUCCCCCGCUUGAGAGGCGGUCGGCCGGGAUUCCGCCUCUCCUCCCCCUCGCGCACGCCCAGUCAUAAAAGCUUCUACCGCCGUUGGGUACACAUUUAUCAUGUUUGACAGCCGAGUUGUGGGCUUGUUUACUUCGAAGCGAUCUGGCGGCCUAAUCUUCCAUUUCCAGCCGUGUGCACGUGUGAAGCUUGUCCCAGAGAAGGCCAGACUAAAAAAAACUUCCGUUGAAUCGUUCACUGUUUGGGACAGUGGGUUAUGUAGUAUCGUCUUCAGCGGGACAGAGAAGAAAAAAACAAGUCUUUAAAAAAAUGGCAGAUCUUAAGAUGGUGCUUUGUUAAAAAGAGUAGCUGAUUGUGCCCGAAAGAGCCCCAAAUCCCACAACUUUCGAGGAACAGGACGUUUUUCGGUGCCGAGCAAUGAAUUUCUGAGGGCAACUGUAGCCUUCCUGAAUUGCCACCCCGAACAUCCUUACCCCUGCUGUCCGGAAUAUUGGAAUUCUUCGACAUCUGGAGGGCCGACUUUGCCCGGGUAUAAUUUGGCAGGUUCUGCAUUGCUGAUGGUGGGGCCCAGGUAAAGACCCAUAUUGGGAGGAACUGAAGCCAGUGGUGAGUGGGGUCACCUCCUGCAGACACUUAACUUGUCUUUCCCAUUUCCCACUCCCUGUUCAGUGGCUUGCUUCACCACGUGAAAUCCCAAAACACGGGUUUCAUACUCCUAGUGUUUUCUCACAGGUGCAGGGUCCAAGUGUUGAUCCAUUGGUUGCAACAGAAAUUGACCAACUGGCUUGUUGAGGCUGAGAGACUGAUUGGCUCAAAGUCACCCAGUUGGCUUUCAUACGUAAGGCAGGACCAGAAUUCAGUCUAUAGUUUCUAGCAUUGCUCACUAGACUAGACCAAAUUGGCUGACGUAUAAUGUCUAUUUGUAUACUCAAUGUUUCAAAAAUCCCCAACAUACUGCAAUAUAUCAAGUGGAGAUCUCAUCCUGCCUUCCUAACCAAGAUGUUUGCCACUGAAAAUCCCAGAAACUAAACCUGACAUUGUCUGCAUAUAAUGGGUAUGCACUGCUGAAAACUAUGGACCCUCCCAACUCAUUUUCUAACAUCCAAAGUAAAAGCAGUUUGUGGCUACCUCUGGCCAAGGACCAACACAUUCUGUAGGUCAAUGGCCAACUUUCCUUCGCACUUUUCACUAGGGAAAAAACGGAUAUUUUGCCAACAUUCUGUGCUUUUCUAAUAAAAUGAGCACGUGCAACACAGCUGAGACUUGUAUUCAACCAGUUAUAAAAAAAUUGAAUGCUGUCACUAAGCAAAGUAUUAACUAUGUUGGUCUAAAAUCAGAUUUUUGAUAUCUGCCUGAAAGUCACCUAGCAAAUAAAGAUUUUAAUAAUUAUGGUUUCAAUAACUGGAAAUCCCUCACUAUUAUUUUUUAAGCUGCUUUACUAUGUUAUUUCAUUGGGGCUCCUUUGUUAUUAAGAAAUUUAUCUUUGAUCUGAGGAUUGUUUACAAAAAUCAAAAGUAUACAAAUACUAACACAUGUAAAUUACUCAGCAAGGCAAUAAAACACCACAUGAAAAUGAUUUUAAAAACAGCAGAAACAAUAGCUCCUAUUGAUUAUUGUUUCUAUUUUUUAAAAUCUAGUUUAAAGAUUUUUUACUUACAGUACUAGAUACGCUGUAUACUCUUUUAACUAAUUGGGAAGACUGUUAUCCCUCAUAAUUAGGAUUCUUAUUUAAUAAGCAUACAUUGAACAGAUGGGAAUAAAUUAUUUGAUAGUAGUUUAAUACUUAACAUUAAAAUACUUAAUCCAUGUUAA
Molecule: long non-coding RNA, 2045 nt
Organism: Crotalus tigris (Tiger rattlesnake)
Lineage: Eukaryota; Metazoa; Chordata; Lepidosauria; Squamata; Viperidae
Exons: 2
Source: RefSeq, a predicted model, not a curated record